GGGGGAGCCCCGGUGAAAGAUGCAAGUCGAACGAGUUCUCGUUGAUGAUCGGUGCUUGCACCGAGAUUCAAGAUUGAACGAGUGGCGGACGGGUGAGUAACACGUGGGUAACCUGCCCUUAAGUGGGGGAUAACAUUUGGAAACAGAUGCUAAUACCGCAUAGAUCCAAGAACCGCAUGGUUCUUGGCUGAAAGAUGGCGUAAGCUAUCGCUUUUGGAUGGACCCGCGGCGUAUUAGCUAGUUGGUGAGGUAAUGGCUCACCAAGGCGAUGAUACGUAGCCGAACUGAGAGGUUGAUCGGCCACAUUGGGACUGAGACACGGCCCAAACUAAUACGGGAGGCAGCAGUAGGGAAUCUUCCACAAUGGACGCAAGUCUGAUGGAGCAACGCCGCGUGAGUGAAGAAGGCUUUCGGGUCGUAAAACUCUGUUGUUGGAGAAGAAUGGUCGGCAGAGUAACUGUUGUCGGCGUGACGGUAUCCAACCAGAAAGCCACGGCUAACUACGUGCCAGCAGCCGCGGUAAUACGUAGGUGGCAAGCGUUAUCCGGGAUUUAUUGGGCGUAAAGCGAGCGCAGGCGGUUUUUUAAGUCUGAUGUGAAAGCCCUCGGCUUAACCGAGGAAGCGCAUCGGAAACUGGGAAACUUGAGUGCAGAAGAGGACAGUGGAACUCCAUGUGUAGCGGUGAAAUGCGUAGAUAUAUGGAAGAACACCAGUGGCGAAGGCGGCUGUCUGGUCUGUAACUGACGCUGAGGCUCGAAAGCAUGGGUAGCGAACAGGAUUAGAUACCCUGGUAGUCCAUGCCGUAAACGAUGAAUGCUAGGUGUUGGAGGGUUUCCGCCCUUCAGUGCCGCAGCUAACGCAUUAAGCAUUCCGCCUGGGGAGUACGACCGCAAGGUUGAAACUCAAAGGAAUUGACGGGGGCCCGCACCAAGCGGUGGAGCAUGUGGUUUAAUUCGAAGCAACGCGAAGAACCUUACCAGGUCUUGACAUCUUUUUGAUCACCUGAGAGAUCAGGUUUCCCCUUCGGGGGCAAAAUGACAGGUGGUGCAUGGUUGUCGUGAGCUCGUGUCGUGAGAUGUUGGGUUAAGUCCCGCAACGAGCGCAACCCUUAUGACUAGUUGCCAGCAUUUAGUUGGGCACUCUAGUAAGACUGCCGGUGACAAACCGGAGGAAGGUGGGGAUGACGUCAAAUCAUCAUGCCCCUUAUGACCUGGGCUACACACGUGCUACAAUGGAUGGUACAACGAGUUGCGAGACCGCGAGGUCAAGCUAAUCUCUUAAAGCCAUUCUCAGUUCGGACUGUAGGCUGCAACUCGCCUACACGAAGUCGGAAUCGCUAGUAAUCGCGGAUCAGCACGCCGCGGUGAAUACGUUCCCGGGCCUUGUACACACCGCCCGUCACACCAUGAGAGUUUGUAACACCCGAAGCCGGUGGCGUAACCCUUUUAGAGAGCGAUACUAGGCUGUAGUAGGUUGGUCCCGG
RNAcentral lists this ribosomal RNA (1483 nucleotides) under Lacticaseibacillus casei. RNAcentral's name for it is "bacterial SSU rRNA". It matches the Rfam family "Bacterial small subunit ribosomal RNA". Lineage: Bacteria; Bacillati; Bacillota; Bacilli; Lactobacillales; Lactobacillaceae. The record is from RNAcentral.